UAUUGGAACUUAAUUGAAGUACGAACACAUCGUAAGCAUAUAAUUCGUGUGGUUAACCUUAGGAAUUGUACAUUCGUUUGAGCUGUCUAAGAACGAUGUUUAAUUAAAUACAAAUUCUUUAAUUACAUGAAAAUUCUGUAAUAACUCACUACACAAUUUUUUUUAAGAGGGGCUAGGGGAUUUCUGGGGGGGAAAUUAAUUAGUUUAGGGGUACGUCGCUGAGACCAUCUGGCAAGACCGAGUACGAUUUCUCACAUUCUGAUAACUGAUUUCUGAUUCAUAAAAAGUAUUUUAGGCUACAGCUAGGAGCAAUCGAAACUACCAUGGCUAAUGGCUGUGCUUGGUGUUUUGUUAGUGGCAUUAGCUGGGUUGUGCUAAAGACCGGGAAAGGGCUGUGGAUACUGACAAAAUUGGGGUUCACGGCUGUCGGUGUGGCGGCGGGCAGCUUGGCCGCGCUUGCCAUGGCAGCUGUUGGAAAUGUGCAAGCCGGUAGUUCCAUAGCGCAAGCAACCUCUGCUGGCAUGAGAGCGAUGUGGUAAAUGAGGAUGGGCCUUUGUUUUUAAAGACUACUGGGUGUUCAUUACAGGUCUAUGUUAAAUUUCAAAUGUAUAGAAUAUCUACAAAAUAAAAUAAAAUAUGACUA
Molecule: long non-coding RNA, 643 nt
Organism: Pieris rapae (cabbage white)
Lineage: Eukaryota; Metazoa; Arthropoda; Insecta; Lepidoptera; Pieridae
Exons: 2
Source: RefSeq, a predicted model, not a curated record